RNAcentral lists this ribosomal RNA (253 nucleotides) under uncultured bacterium. RNAcentral describes it as "partial 16S ribosomal RNA". It matches the Rfam family "Bacterial small subunit ribosomal RNA", at positions 524 to 776 of the family's 1533-position model. The record is from RNAcentral.
UACAGAGGUCCCAAGCGUUGUUCGGGUUCGCUGGGCGUAAAGGGUGCGUAGGCGGUCGGGUAAGUCUGAUGUGAAAUCUCACAGCUUAACUGUGAAACUGCAUUGGAUACUAUCCGGCUUGAGGAAUGGAGGGGAGACUGGAAUACUUGGUGUAGCAGUGAAAUGCGUAGAUAUCAAGUGGAACACCAGUGGCGAAGGCGGCCUUCUGGACCAGUACUGACGCUCAUGCACGAAAGCGUGGGGAGCAAACAGG